Molecule: non-coding RNA, 1024 nt
Organism: Misgurnus anguillicaudatus (oriental weatherfish)
Lineage: Eukaryota; Metazoa; Chordata; Actinopteri; Cypriniformes; Cobitidae
Source: RefSeq, a predicted model, not a curated record
GCACCCUGUUAAAUUUGUAUAUUGUUUAUUUUGUGAUUUGUUAACUGAUAAAAUGUAUAUACUGAAAAAUGGGCCAAUUUAAUUGUUCUCUGUGAAAAAACAUUUUUUUUGUUAUUAAUAUUAAAUAUUAAUUCAUAUUGGUUAUUGAGUUAUAAGGUUAUGAGAUGUUGAAAUAUCCGCUUUUGUGAGUAACUUUUACACCCACUGUCAUUUUGUGUUGUAUUGGGUGGUGAGGUGUCAGUUUCUUUGUUAUCAAAUGAGUGCCAUCCAGAGAGCAGUAUGGUAACCUAUCAGAUUAUUGUGGGGGCGGGACUAAAAGAGAAAACAGAGAGAGACCAAAAAAAAGAGACGCAGAGAUGGCGAGAGAGAGUUGAAAGUUUUGUACGAUCGAUAACAUUACUGGUUAUCAAAGUGAGAACGAGGGAUUAUUUGUUUUCAGAGUUUUAUUGUUUGUGUUUUAAUCCUGGUAAAACGGGAGAGUGGGUGUUGUUUUGGAGCUGGUUAAAUCGGCCAUGAAAACUCUAUCGAAGCGGAGGUAACGUUAUAUCAUGUCAUAGCAUGUGCGAACUGUUACCCUAUAGCCAUGUGCGAAUUGCUAUGUUAUAGAUAAAAACCCCAUUUUGCCACCGAGUUUCUGAUGUGCAUCGGAUGCUGCUGACAUUGUUGCGACAGUAGAUGUGCUCAGGAUUCGCGCUGUAGGCCGGGGGUGUCUGUCUUUUGCACGUGGAUGAGACGGAGCUUCAGGACGGGUUUCUUCAUUGCGUAUUUCGCCGGAUGGAACAGUUUGGAUAGACGGUCACUAUAAUCUUUCUGUUACCAAGGAAUCGUGAGUACAGACAAUAUUCAGUGGAAAACAUUUCAACUGAGCUCCAACAAGCGCGCCAACGCUGUGGUACCACCAAAAACAAAACACAAACCCCGGGGUAUUGUUCAGUCAUUUCAUGUUAAUUGUGAUGAUGUGUUAAAAAGAUAACUCACACAGUUCUGAAAAUGAAUAUAAAUACGUUUCAAGUUUAACAUUCAA